Molecule: ribosomal RNA, 497 nt
Filed under: uncultured bacterium
Lineage: Bacteria
Description: partial 16S ribosomal RNA
Rfam family: Bacterial small subunit ribosomal RNA
Source: RNAcentral
GACGAACGCUGGCGGCGUGCCUAAUACAUGCAAGUUGAGCGAUGAAGAUUGGUGCUUGCACCAAUUUGAAGAGCAGCGAACGGGUGAGUAACGCGUGGGGAAUCUGCCUUUGAGCGGGGGACAACAUUUGGAAACGAAUGCUAAUACCGCAUAACAACUUUAAACAUAAGUUUUAAGUUUGAAAGAUGCAAUUGCAUCACUCAAAGAUGAUCCCGCGUUGUAUUAGCUAGUUGGUGAGGUAAAGGCUCACCAAGGCGAUGAUACAUAGCCGACCUGAGAGGGGGAGCGGCGACGUUGGGACUGGGACACGGCCCAAACUCCUACGGGAGGCAGCAGUAGGGAAUCUUCGGCAAUGGACGAAAGUCUGAACGAGCAACGCCGCGUGAGUGAAGAAGGCUUUCGGAUCGUAAAACUCUGUUGGUAGAGAAGAACGUUGGUGAGAGUGGAAAGCUCAUCAAGUGACGGUAACUACCCAGAAAGGGACGGCUAACUACGUG